AACGAACGCUGGCGGCAUGCCUAACACAUGCAAGUCGAACGAUACCUUCGGGUCUUGUGGCGCACGGUUUCGUAACGCGUGGGAACCUUCCCUUAGGGUCGGAAUAACUCCCCGAAAGGGGUACUAAUACCGGAUAAUGUCUUCGGACCAAAGAUUUAUAGCCUUUGGGUGGGCCCGCGUUGGAUUAGCUAGUUCGUAGGGUAAAAGCGUACCAAGGCGAGGUUACACACCUGGUCUGAGAGAAUGAUACGCCACACUGGGAAUGGGACACGGCAAAGACUCUUACGGGAGGAAGCAGUGGGGAAUAUUGGACACUGGGGGAAAGCAUGAUAAACAACUGAAGUGUGAGUGAUGAAGGCCUUAGGGUUGUAAAGCUCUUUUACCCGGGAUGAUAAUGACAGUACCGGAAGAAUAAGCUCCGGCUAACUCCGUG
This 433-nucleotide ribosomal RNA is filed under the name uncultured bacterium. RNAcentral describes it as "partial 16S ribosomal RNA". It matches the Rfam family "Bacterial small subunit ribosomal RNA", at positions 29 to 507 of the family's 1533-position model. The record is from RNAcentral.